Heterocephalus glaber (naked mole-rat) is the source of this 3855-nucleotide non-coding RNA. The record is from RefSeq and is a predicted model, not a curated record. NCBI's taxonomy places the organism in Eukaryota, Metazoa, Chordata, Mammalia, Rodentia, Bathyergidae.
ACUCCGGCUGAGGCGAAAGUGGAGGCUGGAUGUGAGCGUAGUCCAGUGCCCAUCCCCAGGCGGCCACAGCUCGUUCUCUGGAGCCGCAGCCUUGAGUCCUGCUCAAGACCAGACCGUGCUCCCCAGAACCCUAAGCUGCCCCUCAGGAUUCAGCCUGCUGUUUCCCCUGAGGUGCAAAAUUUUGUAGAGACGUGUUCAAGAUGUUAACUCUUUUCUAUAAUAGCGAAGCGUCUCCUUUUACCCAACACUUUUUUUUUUUUUUUUUUGGUACCGGGGUUCGAACUCGGGUUCUUGUGCUUGCGAGGCAGGCAGCAGAACCACUGAGCUAAAUCCCCAGCCCUGCCCAGCACUGUUUUGACAAAUGUGAGACACCAAGAGGAGAAAUUAUUUUCUAAGGCAAGUUGGAACCAACUCAGGACUCUUCUGGGGGAAAUAGAAAAUACUUUCCGAAUGUUGACCUAUUGGAUCCUCCCUGUGUGCUAGCCUUGCAAAUUUCCUGAACCAGUUUCUCUCCCAUAUGCAACAGUAAAGCUUAACCAACUUAUUCUACUUUGGAAAAUAUUAUUGGUACAAAUCACUUUUACAGACUCUGUGUGGCAUAUAGUUCUGGAACAAAAUGAUCAUGUCAUACAGUGUUGGAAGAAUGCUUAACCUGUGCCACCUGUAAUCCCAGCACUCAGGAGGCUGAGGCAGGAGGAGUGCUGUGAGUUCAAGCUUUCUAGGAGCAGACAAAGCCAUGCUGGCAGCCAGGGUGAAGGCCUUGCCUAGAAGUGAAUACAGACUACAGUUUUCCCUUGGUGUCCAUGAGGGAUCAGUUCCAGAACUCCCUGUGGAUUCCAGAAUCUGAAGGCACUCAAAGUCCCUUAUAUAAAACAGUGAAAUUGAACUCAGCACCUUCACAGAAUUUAAUUGCCCAGGCUAUGCUGGGCAUGGUGGCACACACCUACAAUUCCAGAAUUCAGGAGGCUGCAACAGGAAGAUCAGCAUGAGUCUGAAAUUCAAGGCCAGCCUGAAUUACAAAGCAAGACUCUGUUGAAAAAAAAAAAUUGCCCAGGCUAGCCUCGUGUGGACAUGCACACCUAUAAUUUCAGCACUUGGGAGACUGAAGAGGAGGUUCCCUGUGAAUUCGAAGAGGCCAACCUAGUCUAUAAAGUGAGACCCUGUCUCAAACAACUACAACAGCAACAACAACAACAACAACAACAACAAAUAUGAUGAUGAUAAACUGAAGGAAAAAAGCUGAAGGCAGGAGAACAGCAAAGAACUGUCCAUGUAAUCUUGGCUCUCAGGCUGCAGGCCUAUGUAGUCCAACAAUCUGUAAGUUUCAGGCCACCUCCUCUGGGAGGUCUAUUUGAGGCCCUAGAUCCUGCCCUGCCCUGGGUCUAUGACCUCUCCUGUCCCAGCAGUGCUCACUUUUGCAAAUAUCAGUGACCAAGCCUGCCUUUUAUCCCCAUCCCUGAGGAGAUACUCCCUCAGGGUGUCCUGAGGCAGGAAGCUGGGCACCGUGGGGGUGCUCAGGGGGUAACUCUGAAAGGCUUCCAGCUGCUAGGCACAUCAGGGCUCAGUCCAAGACCUCCUGAACUCAGGGAAGAUAAGUGUGGGCACAAGAGCAGAAGCACCCACUGUGGCAGACACCUUAGAGUAAGCUUUGAAUUCUCAGUCCCUCCUUCCUAUACCCUAGGAAAGUGCUACAACCAUCUCCCUAUUUUCAGAUGAGGAAGCAGAGAGGCUCAGACAGCAGUGCACUGGGCUGAGGUCCAGACUUUCUCUUAGGGAGAUAAUGGAAUCUGAGUCAGGAUCUGUAACCUGAGACCCUUUCUCACAGACAGACUCGAUUAACCACUACCAAGCCAGUAAAGCCAGUUAAGAGUCCCAAGGCUGAACACUUACAUGUCUUUCCAUGAGAGAGGGGCAAGGAGUUGAGAAGCAGGGAAGAAGUAGGACAUAAAGGAUUAAAAGGGUAAAGGAAGGAGGGCAAGAGUGCCAUAGACUGAAUCCCAUUACAGGACAGAGGUGCAGAGUGAGGAGGGAGGCUUUCGGGGAGAGUCUGGGUUGGUUCAUGCAGGGAGUAGCAAGGUCCAGCAGGGGGAGGGGGUCGAGCCCCAGUGCUAGGUCUCCUCUCCCAAGGAGGUGACACCCAAACGACACAAGGCAAUGGUAGUCCAGGGUGCCUUGCCUCAGCACCAUGAAAACAACAAAGACACCUGCAAGUCAGCAUCAGGGAAAAUUCAAAUUCAAACGAGGAGCCCUGACACUUUUGUUCUGCAGUGCCGGAGAUGGAACCCGGCACUCUAUCACUAGGCUACAUCCCCAUUCCUUUUUAUUUUCACACAACAUCUCAUCCCUGGUUAAGCUGCUCAGACUGGCCUCAAAACUGCUAUCCUCCUGCCUGAGUAGUUAGGAUUAGUGGCGUGUGCCACUGUGCCAGGCUGACACUAUGUACGUGGUUUACAAAGCACUUUCCAGUUCUGAAUCUAUUCUUCACAACAGUUCCCUCAGGCAGAAGAGGAAUCUAACCUUCAAUUUCAUAGAUGAGUAGCACAAGACAGGGUUCAUGGACAGUAUGAGGAAGCUAUGGUAAGCUAGUCAAACUUCUAGUUAUGACCUCUGACUUCUGCUCUUUUUUUUUUUUUGGUACCGGGGAUCGAACUCAGGUCCUUGAACUUGCAAGGCAGGUGGCAGAACCACUGAGCUAAAUCCCUGGCCCUGCUCUUUUUUGUUUUGUUCUGUUGAGACAGGGUCUUACUAUGCAGUUCAGGAUAGCCUCGAACUCACUAUGAAGCCCUCUCCAGAACUUUCCAAGGUCUGAAGUCUACGUGUUCUUACAUGAUCCAAGAAGGAACUAAGGCCCAGAAGGGGGAGAUGUCUGCCCCAUGGCCACACUGUUGAGUCAGUGACAGAGCUGGGACAGGACUAGAGCCCAGGUCCCCCACUUACCUGCAGCACUGAGAGGUUGGUCUGUCCGGAAAGGCUCAGUUUCUCUUGCUCAGAGGGGUAGGCAUUGUAGCGGUGCAAGUACAGCCAGUCCCGGAGGAUCUUCACUGACUCCUUGGGCAGGUUCCCCCUGCGCUUCCUCUUGCCCGCCAGGGACAGGAGACCUUCAUCCUCACCUAGAUCGCUGUCAGACAUGGUGCCUAGGGGCGAGGCUGGACCUCCAGUGAGCCUGGGACAAGGACACAGGGGGAGGGCAUGUUAUUAUGAUGCACUGCCUCUUACCUAGUUCCUUGUCUCCAAACAGUACUACAGCCUGGGGCACCAGAAAUGGAGGAGUUGCAGUUCAAAGCUUUGGGCUAUACCAUAGCUUGAGCAAGCUAGAAGGGAAAAGUCCAAGCUGUCACCAUUUCAUGGCAUGGGUGGGUGACUACUGAAAUAAACAGCAAGUCAUUCAUAAGUAGGAACAGGACUAUAAAUAAUUUCAGCUACCACUGGUUAAGAUCUGCUGUUUUCUGUGUUUUUUUACUAUGUACAGAUGCUUCACAUCUAUCACCUCAUUUAAUUCUUAUAAACUCUUAUAAGGGAGGAAUUAUUUUAUUGAUGAGGAAACAGAUUAAGAAAGCCACCAAAAGUACUAUUAUGGUUAACACAAAGUUACCAAGCAACCCAGCAACUUCACUGCAAGCUAUCUACUCCAGAGAAAUAUAACCUGGGUGCGCACAAGACUUUGAACAUAAAUGCUUAGCAUUAUUUGUAAUAGCCAAAUGGUAGAAGUAUCCAUCAGCAGAUGGUUAGAGAAGGAAAAUGUAAUGUAUCUAUACAAUGGACUAUUAUUUAGCUAUAAAGAGUUGAGUUUUCAUUCUGCUACAACAUGGAUAGACCUUGAAAUCAUGCUAAGUAAAAGAGACUAGUCAUAAAUGA